Molecule: ribosomal RNA, 128 nt
Filed under: Paralabrax nebulifer (barred sand bass)
Lineage: Eukaryota; Metazoa; Chordata; Actinopteri; Perciformes; Serranidae
Description: partial 16S ribosomal RNA
Source: RNAcentral
ACAAUUUCAAUAAUUCAACAUUUAUACCCCUUAAUAUAUUAUACAUUACAAAACAAAUCAUUUUAUUCCCUUAGUAUAGGCGAUAAAAAAGGACCUCGGAGCCAUAGAGAAAGUACCGCAAGGGAAAG